This 1264-nucleotide long non-coding RNA is filed under the name Salvator merianae (Argentine black and white tegu). RNAcentral's name for it is "lncRNA (ENSSMRG00000015011.1)". Lineage: Eukaryota; Metazoa; Chordata; Lepidosauria; Squamata; Teiidae. The record is from RNAcentral.
AUUUUCUAACGGGAAGCUAGCCAAAUACAUAGAGUUGAAAAGACAUAGAGUAGCCAACGUACGCUAUGUGAUCCUAACGCUGCGCGUGCGAUUGGAACCGGAAAUCCUGUGUUCGGCAAGCUGGCGGGCCUACGGAUAUUGUUCUGUAUUAGAAGCUGGUGCCAACCUAGCCUAUAGCAAGGAAUUAUGGGAGUUGUAGUGUCUCAUUAACUAGGCGCAUAUGUUCGCCAGUCAUACUCUUCCCGCUUGCAUGCUGGAGAAUUUCCGUUUUGUGCUAUUCCCUCCUCCCUCUCGAGACUUUGUGGGCGGUCUGUCUGGGGGAUUCUAUCUGAACCACCAUUUUCUUUUUCUUUUCUUUUUCACGUGGCUUUCUUGUGUGCACGACCGUUGUCGGUACCUGUUGCUGGUAGUCGGAUUUUCAGAAGAGGAAGAGUGGUAGACUCUACAUCGGCCGUAACGAUGGUUGGCAAAAGGCGUGCGUUUUUGAUUUCUGGGUAAGAGGAAUGGGAAUUACUUAACCCAUAGCUUAAGGACAUUAGUCAGAAUCGCAGGUUUAGGACCAGACUUGCAAACAGAGCAAAGGUUACGACUUUUUAGGUGCAUCAGUGCUGCUAAAACUUUUGCGUGUGAGUUAAUCUGAUACGUAUAGAAAUAGCGUGGUCUGAAUGAUCGGUUGCUACAACCUAUCGCAGGUGAGGACUGUUGUUCAUACUCCAGUGGCAAGCUUUCUCGAAGCUUUAGCUUGGUCGUGACUUAAGACAAAGUGCUAGACCAAAUUGUCUUGUUUACACAAUCAAAUACACAUUUCUGCUUUCUCUUUUUAUGGUUACUAGUGGCAUGCAUGCAGUGUAGAUCACUUUGUUUAAAAAUGCAGGUGGGAAGAUAAAUGCCCUGCUGGAUUGGCAUAUAAUCCAUCAGCCUGUUCUCAUAGUGGCUGAGUCACUAUGUAUAAAGAAGUUCAUGUGUACAUUCUCUAAAAAACUGGUCUUUAGAAGUGUCUUCUAUAUCACCUUCUGAGAUUAUCAUAAGGAGUAGUAGCCAUUUAUAAUUCUGUGUCCACGUACUUGUCCAAAUGUUUUUGUAGCUGUCCAAGCUGGUGGUUAACACCACAUCUCAUGGUAGCAGAUUCUCUAGUUUAGUUGUGCAUUGUAUGAAGAAACUUUUCCUUUUUGCAUAUCCUGAUUUUUCCAAGAUUCAGCUUUUUUGGUUUCGUCAGUUGUAGUAUUGGAAAAUAAAUACCUUUUCCUUAUCUGCUAUUUCUACA